AUUGUCCAACGCAAAGCCAGUAUUGGCCUUGGAAUAGAUGUACGCAUUGCACGAUAAUAAUUAUAUGCUAUCAGAUUUACGUUUACGUCAAGCGACAUUGUCCACGGAAGUAAUCGCACACCGAGGAAAGUCCUUUCCCGAUGUCUCUUGCAAUUAGCGCCGAUGAAAGUCCACUGCACGAGAGAGAGAGAGAGAGCCGCAUCUUAAUAAUACAUUCUGUUUGUGUGCCGCAGUGGGUCGACGAGAUGAACGUGGCGGAAGUGAACAGCCGCGGCGUGAUAGUGGAGGUGCCGGCGUCGAGGAAGCUAAUCAGCGAGGAGUCUGCGGCGACGCCGCCGGUGGCGACGGCGACGAUGGCACCGUUCGCCACGAAUCUCGACGACGUGUUUAUCAGCGUCAAGACCACCAAGCACUAUCAUCACUCGCGCCUGCCGGCCAUCGUCGACACGUGGUUCCAGUUCGCCAGGAACCAGACCUGGUUCUUUACCGACAGGGACGACCCGUACUUUCAAAACCAAACGAACGGCCACAUGAUCAACACCAAGUGUUCAUCCUCGCACAAUCGGCGGGCCCUUUGCUGUAAGAUGUCGGUGGAAUUCGACAGAUUUCUCGACAGUGGCAGAAAGUGGUUCUGCCACUUCGACGACGAUAAUUACGUGAACGUGCCGCGCCUACUGAAGCUUCUGGACAAUUACAACCCACGGGAGGACUGGUAUCUCGGCAAGCCCUCGAUACCUGCGCCCUUGGAGAUCACCAGGCAGGGCCCGGAGCCGCAGAAACGACCGCAAAAGGUGAAGUUUUGGUUCGCCACGGGCGGUGCCGGAUUCUGCAUCAGUCGAGCGUUGGCGUUGAAGAUGACGCCGGUGGCUGGUGGCGGAAAGUUCAUCACCGUCGGUGACAGAAUCAGGUUGCCGGACGACGUAACAAUGGGUUACAUCAUCGAGUACCUUCUAAAAAAGCAACUCACUGUGGUGGAGCAGUUCCACUCGCACUUGGAGCCGAUGAAGUUCCUGAACAGGGAUACCUUCCACGAGCAGGUCUCUUUUAGUUAUUCCAAAGGACCUAGAGACGAGUGGAAUAUCCUGAAAAUUGAUGGUUUCGAUAUGAAGGAUGAUCCAAAGAGAUUUAAAUCCAUCCAUUGUCAUCUGUUCCCACGUGUUCCUUAUUGCCCGCACAGGUGAUGAAGAUUGCACGACGAAUGUAUGAAUAAAGAAAGUCGGAAAACACUGAUCUCUCACUGUUAGGAAAAAUAGAGAAGAAGAUGUAAGAGGUAAAGAGAACGAGAAGUAGAAUUUAUUCUCAAUUGCAGAAUGGAAGAAACAGAAGAUCAACGUAUGGUAAGGAGCAUAAUAGUUAAUAAUAAGAUAUUUGGGGAAAUGGGUAAAAAUGAUCAUUUUGCUGUUAAUUUUUUAUAACUUCAUAUGGGUAAAAAUGCAAUUUCUGUUUGCUAUAUUAUUGCGCAUUCAAACAUAUAACAUUUCAUGCAUAUAUUGACGCAAUGACAUUUAUGUAAUACAUAAACGAGGCGUUCUUUAAAAGAAUGAAAUGUGUUUCAUUUCACAUUUGUUGUUCAUUCUUUUUAUUCCGUUUUAAAUAACUUUAUUUUGCUUGAAUGGAAGUCGUGAGGCGUUCUUUAAAAGAAUUAAAUGUGUUUCAUUUCACAUUUGUUGUUCAUUCUUUUUAUUCCGUUUUAAAUAACUUUAUUUUGCUUGAAUGGAAAGUUCAGCAUAAUUCACGAUGCAUAUGAUUUAUUCGACAAAAUAUUAGCAUCGUAUCUUUAUCUAAAUUUAUUAAAACAUAUAUGGUCACAGGAUACUGAAAUAAUUUUUUGAUAUUACAAGUAAUUUUCUGGCAUUCUAUCUUAAUAUCUAAUAUAGACUUACAUAAGCGAAUUAAUAGAUAUAUUGGUAAAAAUGCAGAUGAGGGGAGGCCGCCCCGAUGACCUUGACCUUGACAUAUGUUGUCAAGGUCGCCCUUCUGAGUGACCUUGAAGAGGUUUUAG
Molecule: RNA transcript, 2002 nt
Organism: Vollenhovia emeryi
Lineage: Eukaryota; Metazoa; Arthropoda; Insecta; Hymenoptera; Formicidae
Gene: fng
Gene name: fringe glycosyltransferase
Exons: 9
Source: RefSeq, a predicted model, not a curated record